Molecule: ribosomal RNA, 645 nt
Filed under: Triticum aestivum (bread wheat)
Lineage: Eukaryota; Viridiplantae; Streptophyta; Magnoliopsida; Poales; Poaceae
Description: partial small subunit ribosomal RNA
Source: RNAcentral
AUGAGCACAGCCGUGGAUGCUUCAGUGCCUGUCGCCGAGCAGGAGGAUGGUACUGCGAAUAUCUUGGGUGGGAAGAAAGUUGCAGUUGUAUUUGUUCUAGGUGGUCCUGGAAGUGGAAAAGGUACACAAUGUAGCAAUAUUGUGGAGCAUUUCGGAUUUACACAUCUUAGUGCUGGAGAGCUGUUGCGCUCAGAAAUCAAGUCUGGUUCUGACAAUGGAACCAUGAUUGACAGCAUUAUAAAGGAAGGGAAAAUUGUUCCAUCUGAGAUAACCGUAAAGCUCCUACAAGAAGCUAUGAUAAAAAGUGAAAAUGACAAAUUCCUCAUUGAUGGAUUUCCAAGGAAUCAAGAAAACCGUCUGUCAUUUGAGAAUGUUAUAAAAAUAUCUCCUGAGUUUGUGCUAUUCUUUGACUGUUCUGAGGAAGAGAUGGUAAGGCGUCUUCUGGGUCGCAAUCAGGGAAGAGCUGACGAUAACAUUGAGACUAUCAGGAAAAGAUUCAGAGUUUUUGAAGAAUCAAGUUUGCCUGUAGUUCAGUACUAUGACUCUAAGGGCAAGGUUAAGAAGAUUAAUGCUGCAAAACCAAUCCCUGAGGUGUUUGAAGAUGUGAAAACCAUUUUUCAGCCAUAUGGCCCAAAGGCCGCAUAG